ACGGAGGGUGCAAGCGUUGUCCGGAUUUAUUGGGUUUAAAGGGUGCGUAGGCGGCUUUUUAAGUCAGUGGUGAAAUCCAGCAGCUUAACUGUUGAAUUGCCAUUGAUACUGGAGAGCUUGAGUACAGACGAGGUAGGCGGAAUUUAUGGUGUAGCGGUGAAAUGCAUAGAUACCAUAAAGAACACCGAUUGCGAAGGCAGCUUACUAGGCUGUAACUGACGCUGAGGCACGAAAGUGUGGGGAUCAAACAGGA
RNAcentral lists this ribosomal RNA (253 nucleotides) under uncultured prokaryote. RNAcentral's name for it is "partial 16S ribosomal RNA". It matches the Rfam family "Bacterial small subunit ribosomal RNA", at positions 525 to 777 of the family's 1533-position model. The record is from RNAcentral.